AUCAUCAACUACUAGGUCUCUCCAAGUAUAAGCAAACGAGUAGAUUUUUCAUAAACAUUGUUUCCCACUGUCUACUACACAUUCAAGUAAACAGACAUUAUAAAGGGACAUAUAUAUAUGCAUACAUGAAAAAGCUUAUUGGACAUGAACCUCAAAUAUGUAUGUACUAGAGAAGUAAAAGAAAGCAACAUACGUCGAAUCCCCAAAAAUUUCGAUAGGCUGCUCCCAUAUAAAUUUGUUCUGCUGAUUAAGCAAUCAUUGCACACGUGCGAAGGACGACUACAUGAGGAAGUAUUUAGACAAUUCUCAACCAGAAUAAAGAAAUAAGCUUACAUGCUCUCUGAAUUUAAACAUGAAUUGCUUGAUGGGAAUGCAUGACAUGCUUUCUCCAUCAACUAGGCAAUUUUGGUUACAUCAAUAGCUGCCGUGAUUUUUUACCUGGUUUGUGUUACAACCCAUCAUCAUCUGUACACCUCAGCAGCCAGAUGAGAAUACCAUUUGCUGGAACAAGAAUUUAAGAGCUCAGUAGCAUGUUGUCGGAACUCGUUUAUCA
This 553-nucleotide long non-coding RNA is filed under the name Salvia miltiorrhiza (redroot sage). Its description in RNAcentral is "long non-coding RNA (SMIL_LNC007638)". The record is from RNAcentral. Lineage: Eukaryota; Viridiplantae; Streptophyta; Magnoliopsida; Lamiales; Lamiaceae.